This 58-nucleotide transfer RNA is filed under the name Oxyrrhis marina. Lineage: Eukaryota; Dinophyceae; Oxyrrhinales; Oxyrrhinaceae. The record is from RNAcentral.
CGUGGCCUGGUGGAUAUGGCACCAGGCUAAUAGCCUAGGGUCGCAGGUUCGAGUCCGG